UUCCGGUUGAUCCCGCCGGACCUGACUGCUAUCGGAUUGAUACUAAGCCAUGCGAGUCAUUGCAGUAAUGCAAGGCAGACGGCUCAGUAACACGUAGUCAACCUACCCUAUGGACGAGGAUAAUCUCGGGAAACUGAGGAUAAUACUCGAUAGAUCAUUAUGCCUGGAAUGGUUUAUGAUUAAAACGAUUCGUCGCCAUAGGAUGGGACUGCGGCCUAUCAGCUUGUUGGUGAGGUAAUGGCCCACCAAGGCAAUUACAGGUACGGGCUCUGAGAGGAGAAGCCCGGAGAUGGGUACUGAGACAAGGACCCAGGCCCUAUGGGGCGCAGCAGGCGAGAAAACUUUGCAAUGUGCGAAAGCACGACAAGGUUAAUCCGAGUGAUUUCUGCUAAAGGAAUCUUUCACCAGUUCUAAAAAUACUGGCGAAUAAGGGGUGGGCAAGUUCUGGUGUCAGCCGCCGCGGUAAAACCAGCACCUCAAGUGGUCAGGAGGAUUAUUGGGCCUAAAGCAUCCGUAGCCGGCUCUGUAAGUUUUCGGUUAAAUCUAUAUGCUCAACGUAUAGGCUGCCGAAAAUACUGCACAGCUAGGGAAUGGGAGAGGUAGACGGUACUCGGUAGGAAGGGGUAAAAUCCUUUGAUCUAUCGAUGACCACCUGUGGCGAAGGCGGUCUACCAGAACAUGUUCGACGGUGAGGGAUGAAAGCUGGGGGAGCAAACCGGAUUAGAUACCCGGGUAGUCCCAGCUGUAAACGAUGCAGACUCGAUAAUGCAUUGGCACAUAGCCAGUGCAGUGUCGCAGGGAAGCCGUUAAGUCUGCCGCCUGGGAAGUACGUACGCAAGUAUGAAACUUAAAGGAAUUGGCGGGGGAGCACCACAAGGGGUGAAGCCUGCGGUUCAAUUGGAUUCAACGCCGGA
RNAcentral lists this ribosomal RNA (914 nucleotides) under uncultured archaeon. Its description in RNAcentral is "bacterial SSU rRNA". It matches the Rfam family "Archaeal small subunit ribosomal RNA", at positions 1 to 922 of the family's 1478-position model. The record is from RNAcentral.